UGGCGUUGAAGUAAUGGACCGGUUCGGCAUCAGCCUGUUAUGGAGCCAAACCGUGGGUUAAGCGAAAACCACAAGCCGAAUAGAUUCGAUGAAUCGAAAGAAAACGCAAAAU
Molecule: non-coding RNA, 112 nt
Filed under: unclassified sequences
Description: drum RNA
Rfam family: drum RNA
About the family: Firmicutes, Bacteroidetes (1 example), Proteobacteria (2 examples), Spirochaetes (2 examples). Terminator (Clostridia)
Source: Rfam by way of RNAcentral